CAGUAGCCGCGGUAAUACGUAGGGUGCGAGCGUUAAUCGGAAUUACUGGGCGUAAGGCGUGCGCAGGCGGUUUUGUAAGACAGGCGUGAAAUCCCCGGGCUCAACCUGGGAAUGGCGCUUGUGACUGCAAAGCUAAAGUGCGGCAGAGGGGGAUGGAAUUCCGCGUGUAGCAGUGAAAUGCGUAGAUAUGCGGAGGAACACCGAUGGCGAAGGCAAUCCCCUGGGCCUGCACUGACGCUCAUGCACGAAAGCGUGGGGAGCAAACAGGAUUAGAUACCCCCGUAGUCCCUGUCUCUUAUAC
RNAcentral lists this ribosomal RNA (301 nucleotides) under uncultured bacterium. RNAcentral describes it as "partial 16S ribosomal RNA". It matches the Rfam family "Bacterial small subunit ribosomal RNA", at positions 509 to 807 of the family's 1533-position model. The record is from RNAcentral.